GAUGAACGCUGGCGGCGUGCCUAAUACAUGCGAGUCGAGCGAACAGACGAGGAGCUUGCUCCUCUGACGUUAGCGGCGGACGGGUGAGUAACACGUGGAUAACCUACCUAUAAGACUGGGAUAACUUCGGGAAACCGGAGCUAAUACCGGAUAAUAUAUUGAACCGCAUGGUUCAAUAGUGAAAGACGGUUUUGCUGUCACUUAUAGAUGGAUCCGCGCCGCAUUAGCUAGUUGGUAAGGUAACGGCUUACCAAGGCGACGAUGCGUAGCCGACCUGAGAGGGUGAUCGGCCACACUGGAACUGAGACGCGGUCCAGACUCCUACGGGAGGCAGCAGUAGGGAAUCUUCCGCAAUGGGCGAAAGCCUGACGGAGCAACGCCGCGUGAGUGAUGAAGGUCUUCGGAUCGUAAAACUCUGUUAUUAGGGAAGAACAAAUGUGUAAGUAACUAUGCACGUCUUGACGGUACCUAAUCAGAAAGCCACGGCUAACUACGUG
RNAcentral lists this ribosomal RNA (497 nucleotides) under uncultured bacterium. Its description in RNAcentral is "partial 16S ribosomal RNA". It matches the Rfam family "Bacterial small subunit ribosomal RNA", at positions 28 to 507 of the family's 1533-position model. The record is from RNAcentral.